AGAGUUUGAUCAUGGCUCAGAUUGAACGCUGGCGGCAGGCCUAACACAUGCAAGUCGAGCGGAUGAAGGGGGCUUGCUCCUGGAUUCAGCGGCGGACGGGUGAGUAAUGCCUAGGAAUCUGCCUGGUAGUGGGGGAUAACGUCCGGAAACGGGCGCUAAUACCGCAUACGUCCUGAGGGAGAAAGUGGGGGAUCUUCGGACCUCACGCUAUCAGAUGAGCCUAGGUCGGAUUAGCUAGUUGGUGGGGUAAAGGCCUACCAAGGCGACGAUCCGUAACUGGUCUGAGAGGAUGAUCAGUCACACUGGAACUGAGACACGGUCCAGACUCCUACGGGAGGCAGCAGUGGGGAAUAUUGGACAAUGGGCGAAAGCCUGAUCCAGCCAUGCCGCGUGUGUGAAGAAGGUCUUCGGAUUGUAAAGCACUUUAAGUUGGGAGGAAGGGCAGUAAGUUAAUACCUUGCUGUUUUGACGUUACCAACAGAAUAAGCACCGGCUAACUUCGUGCCAGCAGCCGCGGUAAUACGAAGGGUGCAAGCGUUAAUCGGAAUUACUGGGCGUAAAGCGCGCGUAGGUGGUUCAGCAAGUUGGAUGUGAAAUCCCCGGGCUCAACCUGGGAACUGCAUCCAAAACUACUGAGCUAGAGUACGGUAGAGGGUGGUGGAAUUUCCUGUGUAGCGGUGAAAUGCGUAGAUAUAGGAAGGAACACCAGUGGCGAAGGCGACCACCUGGACUGAUACUGACACUGAGGUGCGAAAGCGUGGGGAGCAAACAGGAUUAGAUACCCUGGUAGUCCACGCCGUAAACGAUGUCGACUAGCCGUUGGGAUCCUUGAGAUCUUAGUGGCGCAGCUAACGCGAUAAGUCGACCGCCUGGGGAGUACGGCCGCAAGGUUAAAACUCAAAUGAAUUGACGGGGGCCCGC
RNAcentral lists this ribosomal RNA (921 nucleotides) under Pseudomonas aeruginosa BL01. RNAcentral's name for it is "bacterial SSU rRNA". It matches the Rfam family "Bacterial small subunit ribosomal RNA", at positions 8 to 924 of the family's 1533-position model. The record is from RNAcentral. Lineage: Bacteria; Pseudomonadati; Pseudomonadota; Gammaproteobacteria; Pseudomonadales; Pseudomonadaceae.